GACGAACGCUGGCGGCGCGCUUAACACAUGCAAGUCGAGCGAAGCGGCGGACGGGUGAGUAACACGUGAGUAACCUGCCUUAGACCUUGGGAUAGCCUCGGGCAACCGGGAUUAAUACCAAAUGGUCUAAGAUGGACUCGCCUCGCAUUAGCUAGCUGGUGAGGUAACGGCCCACCAAGGCGACGAUGGGUACCCGGCCUGUGAGGGUGAACGGCCACAUUGGAACUGGGAAACGGGCCAAACUCUACGGGAGGCAGCAGUGGGGAAUAUUGCAAAAUGGAGGGAACUCUGAUGCAGCGACGCCGGGUGAACGAAGAAGGCUUUCGAGGCGUAAAGUUCUUUUAUAUGGGAAGCGGUACCAGAAGAAAAAGCCCCGGCUAACUACGUGCCAGCAGCCGCGGUAAUAC
This 407-nucleotide ribosomal RNA is filed under the name uncultured bacterium. Its description in RNAcentral is "partial 16S ribosomal RNA". It matches the Rfam family "Bacterial small subunit ribosomal RNA", at positions 28 to 526 of the family's 1533-position model. The record is from RNAcentral.